RNAcentral lists this ribosomal RNA (837 nucleotides) under Citrobacter koseri. Its description in RNAcentral is "bacterial SSU rRNA". It matches the Rfam family "Bacterial small subunit ribosomal RNA", at positions 34 to 857 of the family's 1533-position model. Lineage: Bacteria; Pseudomonadati; Pseudomonadota; Gammaproteobacteria; Enterobacterales; Enterobacteriaceae. The record is from RNAcentral.
CGCUGGCGGCAGGCCUAACACAUGCAAGUCGAACGGUAACAGGAAGCAGCUUGCUGCUUCGCUGACGAGUGGCGGACGGGUGAGUAAUGUCUGGGAAACUGCCUGAUGGAGGGGGAUAACUACUGGAAACGGUAGCUAAUACCGCAUAACGUCGCAAGACCAAAGAGGGGGACCUUCGGGCCUCUUGCCAUCAGAUGUGCCCAGAUGGGAUUAGCUUGUUGGUGGGGUAACGGCUCACCAAGGCGACGAUCCCUAGCUGGUCUGAGAGGAUGACCAGCCACACUGGAACUGAGACACGGUCCAGACUCCUACGGGAGGCAGCAGUGGGGAAUAUUGCACAAUGGGCGCAAGCCUGAUGCAGCCAUGCCGCGUGUAUGAAGAAGGCCUUCGGGUUGUAAAGUACUUUCAGCGGGGAGGAAGGUGCUGUGGUUAAUAACCACAGCAAUUGACGUUACCCGCAGAAGAAGCACCGGCUAACUCCGUGCCAGCAGCCGCGGUAAUACGGAGGGUGCAAGCGUUAAUCGGAAUUACUGGGCGUAAAGCGCACGCAGGCGGUCUGUUAAGUCAGAUGUGAAAUCCCCGGGCUCAACCUGGGAACUGCAUCUGAUACUGGCAGGCUUGAGUCUCGUAGAGGGGGGGAGAAUUCCAGGUGUAGCGGUGAAAUGCGUAGAGAUCUGGAGGAAUACCGGGUGGCGAAGGCGGCCCCCUGGGCCAAGACUGACACUCAGGUGCGAAAGCGUGGGGGAGCAAACAAGAUUAAAAUACACAGGUAAUCCACCCCCUACACCACGCCAACCUUCAAGUUGUGCCCUUUGAUGGUGGGUUCCUGUGCUGACG